Molecule: long non-coding RNA, 448 nt
Organism: Canis lupus familiaris (dog)
Lineage: Eukaryota; Metazoa; Chordata; Mammalia; Carnivora; Canidae
Exons: 2
Source: RefSeq, a predicted model, not a curated record
CCUCCAUCCUGCAAACAUCCACUGAACAUGUAUUAUGUGCUGGCAUAUUAUGUUGGGCACUAGGAACUCAAAGAUGAGUAAGAAAUCAUCUUUCUCUCAAUUAAUCAACACUCUGUAAAGAAGGGCUUAUUAAGAGCCUGUGGGGAAGACAGACAAUGAAAGAAGACAGGCAUGCAAUCAUACUUGUCAGAGUGGAAUAGGAGCUCCAACGGAGGGCUGGUCUAUUCCAAAGGCAGUAGAAUGAAAAGAAGACAUUUGGACAACUCUGUCCUAUCAACACCGCUCAGAAGAUCACAAAAGCAUGAGGUAUUACAGGGGAGAGAAACCUUUAACAGACAAAAUUUAACUCAACUCAUUUACAGAUGAAGAAACUGGAGCCCACGCAAGGAAGGUGAUAUCCUAAGGUCAACCAGGUCAUCCUGUUCCAUUCAAACAUUCAUUAAGUGCC